RNAcentral lists this ribosomal RNA (488 nucleotides) under uncultured bacterium. RNAcentral describes it as "partial 16S ribosomal RNA". It matches the Rfam family "Bacterial small subunit ribosomal RNA", at positions 28 to 507 of the family's 1533-position model. The record is from RNAcentral.
GAUGAACGCUGGCGGCGUGCUUAACACAUGCAAGUCGAACGGAAAGGCCAGGCGUUUGCGGGGUGCUCGAGUGGGGAACGGGUGAGUAACACGUGAGUAAAAUGUCCCUGACAGUGGGAUAAAUUCAGGAAACUGGGGCGAAUACAGGAGAGGAGCUAUUGCAGCACGGGGGGGGUUGGUGAAAGUCGGCGGUGGGGGAUGUAAUCGCGGCGUAUUCGCUAGUUGGUGGGGUAGUGGCUUAAUAAGGCUACGACGGGGAGGCGACCUGGGAGGGCGAUCGGCCACACUGGAACUGAGACACGGUCCUGACGCCUACGGUAGGCACCAGUAGCCAAUCGUCCGCAGUGGUCGAGAGUUUGACGCAGCGACGCCGCGUGAGUUACGACGGCCUCCGGUUCGUAAUGCUCGCUUAUUAGUUAUGAACCGAUUUGUCCUUUGCCAUACCCUUCGUGACGGUACCUGGUCAGAAAGCACCGGCUAACUACGUG